RNAcentral lists this long non-coding RNA (428 nucleotides) under Salmo salar (Atlantic salmon). RNAcentral's name for it is "lncRNA (ENSSSAG00000084112.1, ENSSSAG00000091658.1)". Lineage: Eukaryota; Metazoa; Chordata; Actinopteri; Salmoniformes; Salmonidae. The record is from RNAcentral.
UACAAAGUUGCUUUGUAUCAUGACAAGGUGUAGUACUGAAACUACCGAGGUUACCUAGCCAGCUACACGUUCAAAGUCAACAACGCAGCCACUGCUAGCUAGCCUACUCCACCAGCCAGCAGUACUGUAUCAUCUUAGUCAAUAACAUUUUUGCAACGCCAUACAAACGCUCCACACCGCGUGGCCGCUGCCACUCUAACCUGGUGGUCCCAGCGCGCACGACCCACGUGGAGUUCCAGGUCUCCAGCAGCCUCUGGAACUGCCGGUCUGCGGCCAACAAGGCAGAGUUCAUCUCAGCCUAUGCUACCCUCCAGUCCCUAGACUUCCUGGCGCUGACGGAAACAUGGAUCACCACAGAUAACACUGCUACUCCUACUGCUCUCUCCUCGUCUGACUACGUGUUCUCGCAUACCCCUAGAGCAUCGAGC